This 1711-nucleotide ribosomal RNA is filed under the name Philactinoposthia sp. d SE-2022. RNAcentral's name for it is "SSU rRNA". It matches the Rfam family "Eukaryotic small subunit ribosomal RNA". Lineage: Eukaryota; Metazoa; Xenacoelomorpha; Acoela; Childiidae. The record is from RNAcentral.
GUAAGUAUAUCUAGUAAUAAGUGAAACCGCGAAUGGCUCAUUAAAUCAGUUAUCAUCUACUUGGUUGUCAAUUGAAAAAGGAUAACUGCGGUAACCCUGCAGCUAAUACUUGCGAAUCGCGUUUUACCUUCGGGGAAGCGUUACUUUUAUUAGAGAACUUGUUACCGGCGGAGAAUCCCGGCUGCCCUUGUGGUGAGCUCUGAAUAACUGAAGGAUGCCUAUAGCCCUCGGGCUGGGCACGAACCAUACGAGUAUCUGACCUAUCAACUUCUGACGGUAGUGUAACGGACUACCGUGGUUGUAACGGGUAACGGGGAAUCAGGGUUCGAUUCCGGAGAGGGAGCCUGAGAAACGGCUACCACACCCACGGGAGGCAGCAGGCGCGCAAAUUACCCAAUCUCGGCACGAGGAGGUAGUGACGAAAAAUAACAAUAUGAGCCUUUACGGGUUUGUGAUUGGAAUGAGAGAAAUUUAACAACUUUCAUUCGAGGAUCUAGUGGAGGGCAAGUCUGGUGCCAGCAGCCGCGGUAAUACCAGCAUCCACAAGCGUAUGCAAAAGUUGCUGCGUUUAAAAAGCUCGUAGUUGGAUCUGUCGAUGGUGUUGCGUCUAACCGCCGGGUUCGUUUGAGAGUGCGGGUGACACUAUCUUCUUCCCGUUGAGAGUGUUUGCACUUAACUGUGUCGAAUGCUCGAGACGGAUACUUAUUUUGAAUAAAUUAGAGUGUUCAAAGCGACCUUUGGGAAUGAAUAAUAAAGCAUGUGAUUGAGGAGGAAGACCCACCGUUGUACGGAAGGUUUGCAGCGGAUGGUAAUGAUUGAAAGGAACAGUCGGGGGCAUUUGUAUUGCUACGUUAGAGGUGAAAUUCUUGGAUCGUGGCAAGACAAACUACAGCGAAAGCAUUUGCCAAGAAUGUUUUCAUUAAUCAAGAACGAAAGUUAGAGUAUUGAAGAGGAUUAGAUACCCUCGUAAUUCUAACCAUAAACGAUACCACCUUACGAUUUGUCAAAGUCCUGCUCGACUUGACAAGGAGUUAUCCGGGAAACCAAAGCUAAUUGGUUACGGGGGAAGUAUGGUUGCAAAAUCGAAACUUAAAGGAAUUGACGGAAGGGCACCACCAGGAGUGGAGCCUGCGGCUUAAUUUGACUCAACACGGGGAAACUCACCAGGUCCAGACAUUGUAAGGAUUGACAGAUUGAAUAUCUUUCAUGAUUCCAUGGGUGGUGGUGCAUGGCCGUUCUUAGUUAGUGGAGUGAUCUGUCUGGUUAAUUCCGAUAACGAACGAGAUCCUAGCCAUUUAAAUAGUUAGAGGCACAUAUUGUGUUUCUAUACUUCUUAGAGGAACAAUGCGGAACAACUACCGCAGGGAAGUGGGGCCAUAACAGGUCUGUGAUGCCCUUAGAUGUCCUGGGCUGCACGCGCGCUACACUGAAAGUUACGGAUUGAGAUUCUACCUUGUCCGAAAUGGUCCGGGUAAUCACCUAAAAGCUUGUCAUAAUUGGAAUGGAUUAUUGUAACUAGUAAUCCUGAACGAGGAAUUCCUAGUAAGUCCCAGUCAACAGCUGGUACUGAUUACGUCCCUGCCCUUUGUACACACCGCCCGUCGCUACUACUGAUUGGACGUUUAAGCAAGAUCUUUGAACAAAAACAGUAUUUAUUUACUGUAAAACGUAAUGGCACAGUUCGAAGAAGAAGAUCGAGCUUACUGUCUAG